UGAUAAUGGUGAGGGCAAUUUCUUAUUAUCCCCUUGAAUCUCUCCUAAUCUUGGUAGAUAUUUUCUCUUUUUUUUUCCUGAAACUCAGAAUCGCUCUUCUCAAACA
Small nucleolar RNA from Capsicum annuum, 106 nucleotides. The record is from RefSeq and is a predicted model, not a curated record. Lineage: Eukaryota; Viridiplantae; Streptophyta; Magnoliopsida; Solanales; Solanaceae.